GACGAACGCUGGCGGCGUGCUUAACACAUGCAAGUCGAGCGGUAAGGCUCCUUCGGGAGUACACGAGCGGCGAACGGGUGAGUAACACGUGAGCAAUCUGCCCUUCUCUUCGGAAUAACCAUUGGAAACGAUGGCUAAUGCCGAAUACGACCUCCCUUCGCAUGUUGGGAGGUGGAAAGCUCCGGCGGAGAAGGAUGAGC
This 200-nucleotide ribosomal RNA is filed under the name uncultured bacterium. RNAcentral describes it as "partial 16S ribosomal RNA". It matches the Rfam family "Bacterial small subunit ribosomal RNA", at positions 28 to 230 of the family's 1533-position model. The record is from RNAcentral.